RNAcentral lists this microRNA precursor (116 nucleotides) under Myotis brandtii (Brandt's bat). RNAcentral describes it as "mir-9193 microRNA precursor family". It matches the Rfam family "mir-9193 microRNA precursor family". The record is from Rfam by way of RNAcentral. Lineage: Eukaryota; Metazoa; Chordata; Mammalia; Chiroptera; Vespertilionidae.
AAUGCACUGGUGGGGUCCCUCGGCCUGGCCUGUGGGGAUCAGCUUUCUGACAUCCCCUGAGGCAUCCCGGAUUGCGAGAGGGGACAGGCCAGGCCGAGGGACCCCACCGGUGCAUU